This 1051-nucleotide long non-coding RNA is filed under the name Oreochromis niloticus (Nile tilapia). RNAcentral describes it as "lncRNA (ENSONIG00000032041.1)". Lineage: Eukaryota; Metazoa; Chordata; Actinopteri; Cichliformes; Cichlidae. The record is from RNAcentral.
AUGUCCACAAACAUGCCACCGGGGAGCCUGAAUCUGGAGUCACAGCUUUUGUCCAUUAUGGACGUGCUGGUGAAAGCGGCAGUGGCAGAAAUCAGCCAGCUGUUCUCGGAGAGCUCGGCGUCUCUCCGUCUGCAUUUAACCCAGAGCUUGAAGGAAAACGAAAACCUGAGGACGAGGAUGAAGGUUAUGAGGAGUGAGCUCUUCUCCCUCAGGCUACAAACCAGAACUAAUCGACCAGCGAGCCGCUUUUCUCCCGUCAGAGGAAACAUAACCAAACCACGAGCUAAGCCACAAGUUCUCAUCAAAUCACAAGUGGCUCAAAAGGCGGGUGGGGAAGCUGCUUCUAUCGUCCUGCAGUCGGAGAAAAAGACCACCUCCUCUGCAGCUCAAGUGCAGUGUGCAGAUGUGGAGAGUCCAGAUGUCAUUCUAAUCAAAGAUGAGGAUGAUGUGGGAGGAUGUGGCCCAGAUAUUGGUGGUGAGUAGGAUUUUUAAGUGAGCUUAAAGGGCCAAUUAAUUAUUGUUUUUAUUUGUAUUUUAUGUCUUUACUUGUCAUCACUACAGCACACAGAUUCUUAAAGCCUAGAUUGUCUAUCUUCUAUCUUAGGGCUGAAAAACUAUUAAACCAGGCAAGGCCGAGAAUAGGAGGAAGAAAGUAGAUCAGACGUCAAGCACCUGAUAGAAAGUCUCUCUUUCUAAAUUACACACAAGCAGUUCCUCAUUGAUGAGUGCUGAGUAAGACUGGCCUAAGCGCUGCUGUUUCUUCGAUAGUGGCCUUUAAAGAUUCUGUUCUCUGUCUUUUCAGAUCAGGGUGACUUUAGAAACCACAGCCUGCAGGGCGGUGUUGCAACAGGAGCUCAGAAUUUGGAGCCAGCUGGUUCCUCUUGCUCAACAGGUGAUAAUGAGGAGCUGAGAAUCGUGUGCGUUCACGGCCGAGGCGAAGGGCCUCUACAGGAUGAAAGUGACACCCUCUUCUCUGCGUCUGAGCUUCAGGCUUUUAGCUCUCUGUCCAACCACAACGUCAGCCACGACAACCUCCUGAAUUUCACCACCG